GGGGACGACUUGUCCUCCGCUAGAUCGUCGUCCUUGAUGCCUCGUUCCCGCACGCCUGUUUGCCCGACUUCUGCUCUCCGUGCACCGACCCACGCCUGUCCACUGACCACCCUCUUUUGACAGAGCGAGGGAGUAGCAGUCCUUGGCUCUGAACUGCAUGAACCUCAUAUUGGACGGAUGGGUCAGCUCGGUGAUGAUGCUGAGGCUCGGGAACAGUCUAAAAACAGCGGCUCACACGAAACGAGACGUCUUCCUCGGCACUCAUGGUGCUCUCCUUGUCCACGACCACCAAGUUGUCGGCGUAGAUGAUUCCACACUGCAGCAGGUUGUCCAAGCUGAUCCAUUAAAGCAACAGAGAAACACGUUUCCCCCAAAACUUUACUGUAAUGAGUUACAUCAUAACUGUACGAGGAAGCGUAAUCGUUUUUCAUGUUGAAAUUAUACAAGUGUGAGCAGUUUGUGAAAGACAGAAAAAUGGCAUUAGAAUCUUUUAUUCUCAUAUUAUGCUGUUAUUUUCCAAAGCUAUUUAUCCAAAAUCACA
This is a long non-coding RNA of Syngnathoides biaculeatus (alligator pipefish), 541 nucleotides long. RefSeq lists it as uncharacterized. Lineage: Eukaryota; Metazoa; Chordata; Actinopteri; Syngnathiformes; Syngnathidae. The record is from RefSeq and is a predicted model, not a curated record. The transcript is spliced from 3 exons.